This 249-nucleotide ribosomal RNA is filed under the name uncultured bacterium. Its description in RNAcentral is "partial 16S ribosomal RNA". It matches the Rfam family "Bacterial small subunit ribosomal RNA", at positions 84 to 334 of the family's 1533-position model. The record is from RNAcentral.
CGUGAUGGCGACCGGCGCACGGGUGAGUAACACGUAUCCAACCUGCCGAUGACUCGGGGAUAGCCUUUCGAAAGAAAGAUUAAUACCCGAUGGCAUAGUUCUUCCGCAUGGUAGAACUAUUAAAGAAUUUCGGUCAUCGAUGGGGAUGCGUUCCAUUAGGUUGUUGGCGGGGUAACGGCCCACCAAGCCUUCGAUGGAUAGGGGUUCUGAGAGGAAGGUCCCCCACAUUGGAACUGAGACACGGUCCAA